Long non-coding RNA from Cebus imitator (Panamanian white-faced capuchin), 429 nucleotides. RefSeq lists it as uncharacterized. The record is from RefSeq and is a predicted model, not a curated record. NCBI's taxonomy places the organism in Eukaryota, Metazoa, Chordata, Mammalia, Primates, Cebidae. The transcript is spliced from 3 exons.
CCCUCGGGCAGCGAGGUCUUGUGGGGGACGUUCUGCAAGAGUGGGGUGCGGGGGCCACUGUGAGCCGGUGAGACGGAGGGAGGGAGACAGAAGACAUAGUCGGUCCUGGGAGGCCAGUCUGGGUGGGAACUCCAGACCCUUCUCUCCAGCUGAGAACCUCCUGCCUGGACCAAGGAUGUCCUUGCUGAAAUCGCAACUUCUGCCUCUGACUGCUACCAUCAUGCCACCAAGUUUGCAGGUCAGGAUGAGCUGCUGGACCACCCACGACCCCAUCACCACCUAGAUCAAAAGCAGAGCAAGAUAAAGACCAUUGGCCGGGCGCGGUGGCUCACGCCUGUAAUCCCAGCACUUUGGGAGGCCGAGGCGGGUGGAUCACGAGGUCAAGAGAUCGAGACCAUCCUGGUCAACAUGGUGAAACCCCGUCUCUAC